AUUGAACGCUGGCGGCAUGCCUUACACAUGCAAGUCGAACGGCAGCGCGGGAGCAAUCCUGGCGGCGAGUGGCGAACGGGUGAGUAAUAUAUCGGAACGUGCCCAGUAGUGGGGGAUAGCCCGGCGAAAGCCGGAUUAAUACCGCAUGAGACCUGAGGGUGAAAGCGGGGGAUCGCAAGACCUCGCGCUACUGGAGCGGCCGAUAUCAGAUUAGCUAGUUGGUGGGUAAAGGCCUACCAAGGCAACGAUCUGUAGUUGGUCUGAGAGGACGACCAGCCACACUGGGACUGAGACACGGCCCAGACUCCUACGGGAGGCAGCAGUGGGGAAUUUUGGACAAUGGGCGCAAGCCUGAUCCAGCAAUGCCGCGUGCAGGAAGAAGGCC
This 385-nucleotide ribosomal RNA is filed under the name uncultured bacterium. RNAcentral's name for it is "bacterial SSU rRNA". It matches the Rfam family "Bacterial small subunit ribosomal RNA", at positions 29 to 416 of the family's 1533-position model. The record is from RNAcentral.